AGAAUGAACGCUGGCGGCAUGCCUAACACAUGCAAGUCGAACGAAGGCUUCGGCCUUAGUGGCGCACGGGUGCGUAACGCGUGGGAAUCUACCCUUAGGUUCGGAAUAACAGUUGGAAACGACUGCUAAUACCGGAUGAUGACGUAAGUCCAAAGAUUUAUCGCCUAGGGAUGAGCCCGCGUAGGAUUAGCUAGUUGGUGUGGUAAAGGCGCACCAAGGCGACGAUCCUUAGCUGGUCUGAGAGGAUGAUCAGCCACACUGGGACUGAGACACGGCCCAGACUCCUACGGGAGGCAGCAGUGGGGAAUAUUGGACAAUGGGCGAAAGCCUGAUCCAGCAAUGCCGCGUGAGUGAUGAAGGCCUUAGGUUGUAAAGCUCUUUACCCGGGAUGAUAAUGACAGUACCGGAGAAUAAGCUCCGGCUAACUCCGCGCCAGCAGCCGC
This 443-nucleotide ribosomal RNA is filed under the name uncultured bacterium. RNAcentral describes it as "SSU rRNA". It matches the Rfam family "Bacterial small subunit ribosomal RNA", at positions 26 to 518 of the family's 1533-position model. The record is from RNAcentral.